Small nucleolar RNA from Salvia splendens (bonfire salvia), 109 nucleotides. RefSeq annotates it as small nucleolar RNA Z107/R87. The record is from RefSeq and is a predicted model, not a curated record. NCBI's taxonomy places the organism in Eukaryota, Viridiplantae, Streptophyta, Magnoliopsida, Lamiales, Lamiaceae. The transcript has a single exon.
AAUCGGUGUGACGACUUGGAAAAUUCAAGCUCAACAGACCGUAUUGCAGGUCUCUCUCUACUCAGAGAUUGCUACUUGCAUAUCGAUUCACCCGCUGAACUGACCGAUU